CUUCACGGAGCCGAGCCAAAGCGGCCGGUCCUCGGGCCGGUCCUGGCCGUACGUCGCGAGCAGCGCCUGCGCCUC
Molecule: antisense RNA, 75 nt
Filed under: Embleya hyalina
Lineage: Bacteria; Bacillati; Actinomycetota; Actinomycetes; Kitasatosporales; Streptomycetaceae
Description: ASpks TB sRNA
Rfam family: ASpks TB sRNA
Source: RNAcentral